UGGCGGCGCGCCUACACAUGCAAGUCGAACGAGAAAGUGGAGCAAUCCAUAAGUAAAGUGGCGUACGGGUGAGUAACACGUGGAUCAUCUACCCUCUAGUGGGGAAUACCGCUGGGAAACCGGCGACAAUACCGCAUAAGCUCGAGAGAGAAAAGCAGCAAUGCGCUGGAGGAGGAGUCCGCGGUCGAUUAGUUAGUUGGCAGGGUAAAGGCCUACCAAGACUGUGAUCGAUAGCCGGCCUGAGAGGGCACACGGCCACACUGGCACUGAAACACGGGCCAGACUCCUACGGGAGGCAGCAGUGGGGAAUCUUGCACAAUGGGGGAAACCCCGAUGCAGCGACGCCGCGUGAGCGAUGAAGCCCCUCGGGGUGUAAAGCUCUUUCGGCAGGGAAGAUUAUGACGGUACCUGCAAAAGCAGCUGCGGCUAACUACGUGCCAGCAGCCGCGGUAAUACGUANGCAGCAAGCGUUGUUCGGAGUUACUGGGCGUAAAGGGUGCGUANGCGGCUUUUUAAGUUUGGUGUGAAAUCUCCCGGCU
Molecule: ribosomal RNA, 539 nt
Filed under: uncultured bacterium
Lineage: Bacteria
Description: bacterial SSU rRNA
Rfam family: Bacterial small subunit ribosomal RNA
Source: RNAcentral